CUUAACGUAAAGUACAAUUACAGCACAUAGUACAAGAAGCAUCAGGCAUUGCUGAAGAUGUCUGAAGCCAUCUAUGCCAAGCCAGACAAUGAACAAGAAAGUCAAGUUUGACAGAGGUGAGACGGAGGAGAGAAUUGUGGAUAUCUACGUCAGUGCAGACCCCGAGAGACCACGAGACCAGCACCAAGACAGAAGAUGUAGAAACACACUUCAACUAAAGGACCGGGAGACCAGCACACAGGGCCUGAUAGCACAGGGAAGAGACCCUUCCUAGCUGUUGCGGUGUGUCUGGGCUGCUUGUGUGUUCUACUACUGGCUGGGAUCAUAGGCCAGUCUGUCCACUGCCAACUACAGACCAGAUACAAUAACCUGACUAAAGAGAGAGACCAGCUACAGAGGGAGAAAGAGUCUUAUGGAAAAGUUUCUAAUCCGGGUGA
This is a long non-coding RNA of Salvelinus sp. IW2-2015, 437 nucleotides long. RefSeq lists it as uncharacterized. The record is from RefSeq and is a predicted model, not a curated record. NCBI's taxonomy places the organism in Eukaryota, Metazoa, Chordata, Actinopteri, Salmoniformes, Salmonidae.